UAUUAAUCCUGCCCAUACUUCCAAACUUCUUAUAAUUUAGUCUGUAAAUUUUAUUUUCCUGGGUUGACUUUAAAAAGUUCUUUGAUUACUUUAAGAAAAAAAAUAUUUAUUUAUUUAAUGUGAUGCUAAGGAUCGAACCCAGUGCCUCAUACAUGCGAGGCAAGCGCUCUGCCACCCAGCUACAACCCCAGCCCAAAUUCUUUGAUUACUUUCUAUCUUAGUGGUAUGCACAUUUAACAUUUGGCCCUAUCACUUUUCAGAUGAUUUAAAAAUUUUUUUCCGUUUAUUGCUAAAACUGAUUUUCAUGCAACACAACUCUCUGUUCCUGAGGAAUAUACAUUAUUUUUUCUCUGAGGUCCUUAAUACAACCUCUUGUGAGGGCUGGGGUUGUGGCUCAGCAGUAGAGCGCUCGCCUAGCACAUUCGAGGCCCUGGGUUUGAUCCUCAGCACCACAUAAAAAUAAAUAAAAUAAAGAUAUUGUGCCCAGCUACAACUAAAAAAUAAAUAUUAAAAAAAAAUACAAUGAGGGACAGAUUUCAGUAGUUUUAAAAAAUCUGGUCACUAAUUUACAUAAGUUGAUGGUAAAACAAAUCUAAAUUUGUUUCACUAUCUGACUUAAUGAAGCCAGUGCCUAGUCUUCUUAGGUGAAUAAACUGAUACAGCGUUUUUACUAUGUAACCCCCAAGUGCUUUGUAAAUGUCCUGGUUAUUCAGGGUUUCUGGAGUGUGUUAUGGGAGAAUUUCAUCUUUGAACUAUUUUAAUAGUACCUACCAAUUUUAAACUAUAAAUUUCAAAACCAGUUUCUGAUGAUUUAACAUAGGAUAAGUAUUGUGGAAUUAAAGAUGAGAAUUGUGCCAUUUGUAAUUAUUUUUCAUUCUCAUAUUUUGUUUAAAGAAAAUGUUUCUUGAAAUAUUAUAUUUUGGUAGAAUGGAUGCUCUGAAUUUAAACCUGUUGCCGACCGUGGUUUUCAGUAGCUUGGAGCUUGGUGUUGUCAAGAGACUUGUUUUGG
This 1009-nucleotide long non-coding RNA is filed under the name Marmota monax (woodchuck). Lineage: Eukaryota; Metazoa; Chordata; Mammalia; Rodentia; Sciuridae. The record is from RNAcentral.